ACAAUGGCUUUAUAUCACACUGUUAUCAUCCUAAUUAUUGUUGUAAUUGUAUUAAAUCUGUCUACAUUACUUAGAAAAUAUUGUUAGUUAGCGGGCUGAUAAGAUGAGAACUUCACUUAUUUAUAUUUUACACUGUUUUCAAUCAAGCGCUGGAAUUUCUGACUUCCCGUGAACUCACCACAGCGUUUCUACGAGGCCCUCGCGCUGCGCUCCCUCCUCCCCUUUUGCUGGCUUCGUCAGACGACUAGAGAGAAACUCCUGGUGGUUGAUCGACUGUUUGGCUGAGAGAUUGUUGGCUGCUUCCUGUGCUUCUGCUGCGACCCAGAGAGACCGGGGUUCAGGAUUCCUGCUCGUCUGGUGUCCUGGUGUCCUCCACCUCUCUUUACCCCUCCCCCCUCUACCUCUAUCAUUUUUGGACAUCUAUCAUUCCUGUCACUCUAGUGUAUAUCUAUCUAAUUUUUGGACAUUCUAUCUUGUAUCAAUCUAUCCUCAUCUAUCUUUAGCACUUAAGGUGGUGCGCCAUUUUGGGGUUGGACCUUCAGAUACCAGAGUUUGGGCAACAUUUUGGGAAAAGUUUUCUGGACAAAGUUUUAUGGGAACCCGGUUUUGGACAAAGAUUUUUGUGUGAUCCUGUUAAGAUCUACCUGUUCUGAUCUGAGAGCGUCUCUGCCCUCGCACUCUAUCUCUGCUGUUUUGUCCUAUCCUGCAAGUUCCUGGAGUGUGUUAAUUUUCAGUAAAUCAGCUGUUUCAGCUCCUGUGCAGCUGCCACUGGACUCACUGCAGGUUUGUUAAAGUCUUGCUAUAAAAGACCACAUCCAGCAUUGGAGAAGCAGUCUGCUGUCUGUCCUGAGCUGAACUGACGAGAGGAAUCCAGAGAACAGAAACCAUCUUCAUCCCACCACCGUCACAGUUGCUGCUGCGUUCCACAUUUGCUCAAAAAACUCGAUAUAAAGCAGUUGCAGAUACAGUUCUGUCUUGGCAAAGCUAAGAGUAGCAUAAAACUAAAUAAGUAAUCUGAGGUAACUGAUCACUAUAUAUAUUUCUGUGUAUUGAAUAAUUGUAAAAUCUAGUUAUAAAUUGGCUCCUGAGAAAUACUGAUUUUCAGUAUCUGAUAUUUUCUGUCUCCUGGUAAGCGUUACUGGUUUAGUUUAACAGAUUCUAGCUUAUUCAUCUCAUUCAGAAUAAUUUUUGAAGAUAUAAGGACAGAUAUUGGUUAAUUUACAGUUUGAACAGUAAAUAUUUUAGGUGCGUUCUUGCUUAACCACUUGCAGUGAUUACAUUUCCCUUUAAGAGUUGGUAUCAGAUUAAUUUCACGUGAAAACCUAGUUGAUUAUUCACACCCAUAAACUUUAUACCACAACUGUUUUAAUAGUUUUGGGUCAACUGAUAAAAUACUAGCCGACUGUGAAGCCUGAACAUUAUAUUUACUGGUAUAAUUUUUGAAUAAAUACUGAGAGAAACCUUUCAGUAUAUUGCAAGUAGCACAAGUGGUUGAAAAUAAAACCUGAAUAUUUA
This is a long non-coding RNA of Melanotaenia boesemani (Boeseman's rainbowfish), 1515 nucleotides long. RefSeq lists it as uncharacterized. The record is from RefSeq and is a predicted model, not a curated record. NCBI's taxonomy places the organism in Eukaryota, Metazoa, Chordata, Actinopteri, Atheriniformes, Melanotaeniidae. The transcript is spliced from 5 exons.